Molecule: ribosomal RNA, 460 nt
Filed under: uncultured bacterium
Lineage: Bacteria
Description: partial 16S ribosomal RNA
Rfam family: Bacterial small subunit ribosomal RNA
Source: RNAcentral
CCUACGGGUGGCAGCAGUGAGGAAUAUUGGUCAAUGGACGAGAGUCUGAACCAGCCAAGUAGCGUGAAGGAUGACUGCCCUAUGGGUUGUAAACUUCUUUUAUAUGGGAAUAAAAUGUUCCACGUGUGGGAUUUUGUAUGUACCAUAUGAAUAAGGAUCGGCUAACUCCGUGCCAGCAGCCGCGGUAAUACGGAGGAUCCGAGCGUUAUCAGGAUUUAUUGGGUUUAAAGGGAGCGUAGGUGGCUUGUUAAGUCAGUUGUGAAAGUUUGCGGCUCAACCGUAAAAUUGCAGUUGAAACUGGCAGUCUUGAGUACAGUAGAGGUGGGCGGAAUUCGUGGUGUAGCGGUGAAAUGCUUAGAUAUCACGAAGAACUCCGAUUGCGAAGGCAGUUCACUGGACUGCAACUGACACUGAGGCUCGAAAGUGUGGGUAUCAAACAGGAUUAGAUACCCGUGUAGUC